CUGCUGGAGGAACCAGUAGUUCUGGCAUUGGCUGAAAAGUAUGGUGGAUCUCCAGCUCAGAUCUUGCUCAGGUAUGGGGCAGUCUUAGGGAGAGGGCACUGGGUUGGGAGGCAAGGGUUAAGGGAUUUCUUAUUUCAGUGUCUAGGUGAGGCUGAGGAUCUUGCCUUGUGAUCUGGAGGGAGGCCACUAGGCAUAUUUCCCAUUUCAGCAGGGCUCAGGUGCUCCAGGACCUUAGGGAAGGCUGCAUGGAGAACAAAAUAGUGCUUAUGAAUACUGACCCCUUUUCCUCAUCUGUCUAAUCCCCCAACUUAGAUGGCAGGUCCAGCGGAAAGUGAUCUGCAUCCCCAAAAGUAUCACUCCUUCUCGAAUCCUUCAGAAUAUCAAGGUGUUUGACUUCACCUUUAGCCCAGAAGAGAUGAAGCAGCUAAAUGCCCUGAACAAAAAUUGGCGAUAUAUUGUGCCUAUGCUUACGGUGGAUGGGAAGAGAGUCCCAAGGGAUGCAGGGCAUCCUCUGUACCCCUUUAAUGACCCGUACUGAGACCACAGCUUCUUGGCCUCCCUUCCAGCUCUCCAGCUAAUAAGGUCCUGCCACAACGGAAAGAGGGAGUUAAUAAAGCCAUUGGAGCAUC
Molecule: small RNA, 629 nt
Filed under: Pongo abelii (Sumatran orangutan)
Lineage: Eukaryota; Metazoa; Chordata; Mammalia; Primates; Hominidae
Description: processed transcript
Source: RNAcentral